Molecule: ribosomal RNA, 482 nt
Filed under: uncultured bacterium
Lineage: Bacteria
Description: bacterial SSU rRNA
Rfam family: Bacterial small subunit ribosomal RNA
Source: RNAcentral
GUGAACGCUAGCGGCAGGCUUAAUACAUGCAAGUCGUGGGGCAGCGCAGGUAGCAAUACUGGGCGGCGACCGGCAAACGGGUGCGGAACACGUACACAACCUUCCGAGAAGUGGGGGAUAGCCCAGAGAAAUUUGGAUUAAUACCCCGUAACAUAACGAUGUGGCAUCACAUUGUUAUUAUAGCUUCGGCGCUUCUUGAUGGGUGUGCGGCUGAUUAGAUAGUUGGCGGGGUAACGGCCCACCAAGUCUACGAUCAGUAGCUGAUGUGAGAGCAUGAUCAGCCACACGGGCACUGCGACACGGGCCCGACUCCUACGGGAGGCAGCAGUAAGGAAUAUUGGUCAAUGGACGCAAGUCUGAACCAGCCAUGCCGCGUGAAGGAUUAAGGUCCUCUGGAUUGUAAACUUCUUUUAUCUGGGACGAAAAAAGGCGAUUCUUCGUCACUUGACGGUACCGGAUGAAUAAGCACCGGCUAACUCCGU